GAUGAACGCUGGCGGCGUGCCUAAUACAUGCAAGUCGAGCGAACAGACGAGGAGCUUGCUCCUUUGACGUUAGCGGCGGACGGGUGAGUAACACGUGGGUAACCUACCUAUAAGACUGGUAUAACUUCGGGAAACCGGAUCUAACACCGGAUAAUAUUUCGAACCGCAUGGUUCGAUAGUGAAAGAUGGCUUUGCUAUCACUUAUAGAUGGAUCUGCGCCGUAUUAGCUAGUUGGUAAGGUAACGGCUUACCAAGGCAACGAUACGUAGCCGACCUGAGAGGGUGAUCGGCCACACUGGAACUGAGACACGGUCCAGACUCCUACGGGAGGCAGCAGUAGGGAAUCUGCCGCAAUGGGCGAAAGCCUGACGGAGCAACGCCGCGUGAGUGAUGAAGGUCUUCGGAUCGUAAAACUCUGUUAUUAGGGAAGAACAAACGUGUAAGUAACUGUGCACGUAUUGACGGUACCUAAUCAGAAAGCCACGGCUAACUACGUG
This 497-nucleotide ribosomal RNA is filed under the name uncultured bacterium. Its description in RNAcentral is "partial 16S ribosomal RNA". It matches the Rfam family "Bacterial small subunit ribosomal RNA", at positions 28 to 507 of the family's 1533-position model. The record is from RNAcentral.